AGCUAAUCUGCCCUAAAGCGGGAAAUAAAGUCGGGAAACUGACCUUAAUGUCCCAUAGACGACUUCUACUGGAAUGUGUUGUCGUUAAAAUAUUGCUUUAGGAUGAGGCUGCGGCUGAUUAGGUUGUUGGCGGGGUAAAGGCCCACCAAGCCGAUGAUCAGUAGGGGCUCUUAGCGGAGAAGCCCCGAGAGGGAAUCUGAGACACUAUUCCCAGCCCUACGGGGUGCAGCAGUCGGGAAACUUCUGCAAUGUACGAAAGUAUGACAGAGCAAGCCAGAGUGAUUCUCUAUAAUUGAGAAUCUUUUGUGAGAUGUAAAAAGUCUCACGAAUAAGGACUGGGAGAGACUGGUGCCAGCCGCCGCGGUAAUACCAGCGGUCCAAGUCGCAAUCACUUUUAUUGGGUCUAAAACAUCCGUAGCUUGUUAUGCAAGUCUCUUGUGAAAUCCGGCCUCUCAAGGGUCGAAGUGCAAGAGAUACUACAUGGCUAGAGACCGGGAGACGUAAGAAGUACGGUUAGGGUAGUGGUAAAAUACGUUGAUCCUUACUGGACUCACGAUAGCGAAGGCAUCUUACGAGAACGGAUCUGACAGUGAGGGAUGAAGGCUAGGGGCGCAAAACGGAUUAGAUACCCGUGUAGUCCUAGCAGUAAACACUGCACACUAAACAUCGGGGCCUCUUCGAGAGGUUUCGGUGCUGUAGGGAAGCCGGAGAGUGUGCUACCUGGGAAGUAUAGUCGCAAGGCCGAAACUUAA
Molecule: ribosomal RNA, 752 nt
Filed under: uncultured archaeon
Lineage: Archaea
Description: bacterial SSU rRNA
Rfam family: Archaeal small subunit ribosomal RNA
Source: RNAcentral